Molecule: ribosomal RNA, 458 nt
Filed under: uncultured bacterium
Lineage: Bacteria
Description: SSU rRNA
Rfam family: Bacterial small subunit ribosomal RNA
Source: RNAcentral
AGAAUCAACGCUGGCGGCGUGCCUAACACAUGCAAGUCGAACGAGAAAGUGGAGCAAUCCACGAGUAAAGUGGCGCACGGGUGAGUAACACGUGACUAACCUACCCUUGAGUGGGGAAUAACUGAGGGAAACCUUAGCUAAUACCGCAUAACACCUACGGGUCAAAGGAGCAAUUCGCUUAAGGAGGGGGUCGCGGCAGAUUAGUUAGUUGGCGGGGUAAUGGCCCACCAAGACAGUGAUCUGUAUCCGGCCUGAGAGGGCGCACGGACACACUGGAACUGAAACACGGUCCAGACUCCUACGGGAGGCAGCAGUGGGGAAUUUGCGCAAUGGGGGAAACCCUGACGCAGCAACGCCGCGUGGAGGAUGAAGACCCUUGGGUCGUAAACUCCUUUCGAUCGGGACGAUUAUGACGGUACCGGAAGAAGAAGCCCGGCUAACUUCGCGCCAGCAGCCGC